Molecule: non-coding RNA, 46 nt
Organism: Heterocephalus glaber (naked mole-rat)
Lineage: Eukaryota; Metazoa; Chordata; Mammalia; Rodentia; Bathyergidae
Source: Rfam
CCAAAGGCCCUUUUCAGGGCCGCCCACAUAUCCCUUUAAAGGAGCU